CUGUUAUGUUGCUUCAGUUGAUUUGACUUGAGUAAACAAGUCGUUCUUAGCUCAUUUAAUUUCAUAAGUUAAGACAAGAUAACUUCAUCGUAUCAAAUUAACUUGAUAUUUUUGUCAAAUCAACUGUUAUGUUGGUUCAAUUGAUUUCACUUCAUGGUUGUGAAUUUCUAAGUUGAGUAAGCGCAUUGUUUUUGCUAACUUAAUUUGAAUUGAUAUCUUUUGAAUUUUUCAGUCGGUUGAAAUCAACUCACGCAUAAAGGGAAGGACACUCAACAAGCACAGCACCAACACAAAUGACUGAUGAUUGGCUGAGAGAAGUUGAUGAUAAAAAUGAUUGUGGGAGCUGUCUUGUUAGACUUCAGUGCAGCUUUUGACAUUAUCGAUCAUUGUCUGCUGCUGUAAAAAUGUAUGUGUUAUGGCUUUACACUAGUGGUCGACCGAUUAAUCGGAAUGGCCGAUUAAUUAGGGCUGAUUUCAAGUUUUCAUAACAAUCGGAAUGGGCGCGGAUUUGCCCAUUUUUUAAAAUAUAUUUUUUACACAUUUAUUUAAUAUUUAUUUAACUAGGCAAGUCAGUUAACACAUUCUUAUUUUCAAUGACGGCCUAGGAACGGUGGGUUAACUGCCUCGUUCAGGGGCAGAAAGACAGAUUUUCACAUUGUCAGCUCGGGGGAUCCAAUCUUGCAACCUUACAGUUAACUAGUCCAACACAAUAACGACCUGCCUCUCUCUCGUUGCACUCCACAAGGAGACUGCCUGUUACGCAAAUGCAGUAAGCCACGAGUUUCACCCUGUCGGAGCAACAAUGACAUCACAUGUGAAGCUCAGAAAAGAGAGAGUUGGAGCUGUGGACUAUGACACACAAAUCAAAGAGGUGCGUUGUCAGUUGGUGGACCAGUUGAAGGUUUUGGAUCUGCAGUUGGAGCAGAAAUCUCAGCAGCUUCAGGAUCUGACAGACUACCUGCGUAGACGCAGUGAGAUAGAAGGAGAGUACGCACGCUCGCUGGACAAAUUGGCCGAGAGGUUUACCUCCAAAAUCAAAAGGAAGGAGCCUGGCAGUGGUCAGUCUGUGGCCCAGUGUUGGCUGGUCCUGCUGGCUCAGACCAGACAGGAGAGCAAAGACCACAGUGGUGUGAGUGACAGCUGUAGCACCACCCUCACCCAGCCCCUCACACACUCUCUGGAGAUCACACAGCGCCUGGCCAAGAGGGUACUGCUUUAUCUUCAUUUGAUUAAUUUAGCGUGGCGGACCUACUAUCAGUACCACUCAGAGUAUGAGUCUGCAGAGGGAAAGCUGAAGGAAGCAGAGAAACAGAAGCAAGGAGCUUCUAAAAAGAUUGAGAAAAGACAGUGUAAAGUGCAGGAGAUCCAGCUGAAGUGCACUAAGGCUCGUAAUGACUACCUUCUCAAUCUGGCUGCUGCCAAUGCUUCCAUGAACAAGUACUAUCUCCAAGACCUCUCCUCACUCAUGGACUGUUCAGACAUUGGCUACCACCUUUCUCUGUCCCGUGUGCUACGCUCCUACCUGUCCAGCCGCUCCCGGGCCCAGCAGAACCUGAGUGGAGGGCUGCAGCAGCUCCACACUGCUGUGUCUGGACUGGACCAGAUUCAGGACAGAGACUACCUGCUACAGACUCACACCAACACCUUCUGUCUACCCCUCCGCUUCCACUACCAGCCACGCGAUGGAGACCAGGUGUGUGAGGUGAGUGCAGAACAGGAGAUUAGGUGUGAGAUGGAGACCAGGUUCCAACAGCUGCAGUCAAAGCUCACCGGGUUCACUCAGGAAACAGAGGAGGUACAGUCCAGUAUCAGUGAUGAUGACCUGGAUCCUCCACCCUCCAGAAGCAAUGAAAGCCUGGCCAGCAGCAGUAGCAGACCCAGUCUGGCCAGACGCAGAGCCAACCUGCAGGAGACUGAGACACUCUACUGUGCUAACGUGAAGGAGUAUCUCUGUAAAAGCUCUCUGGUAUCUAAACUACAGGCGAAACAUGAUCUGCUUAAAGUGGCGGUUGAGAAAGGUACAGCACUAACUACUUCUUUAUUGCGUGUGAGGAGUAAGAGUCAACCCAGUGUCCAGUACACCCACAAACUCUUCACCGGAGACAUGCUCUCCUUCAUACAGGCAUCAGGACAGGAGAUACCUGUAGUGGUGGAAAGCUGCAUUCGCUUCAUCAACCUUAACGGUCUCCACCAUGAGGGUAUCUUCAGAGUACCAGGGUCUCAGGGGAAGGUCAACAGUCUGAGAGAUGCCUUUGAGCGAGGAGAGGACCCUGUGGCAGACAGCAGGUGUGACUUGGACUCGGUAGCAGGAGUAUUGAAACUCUACUUUAGAACCCUGGAAAACCCUCUCUUUCCUCAAGACAGCAUCGCUCAGCUCCUGGAGUACGCACAGAUUGACAACGAGACGGAGAGAGCAGCUAAACUCAAAUCAGUCAUCUCCUCCUAUCCACCACCUGUCAGCACCGUCAUGAGAUACCUCUUUGCAUUCCUCCAUCAUGUGUCUCAGUACAGCGAUGAGAACAUGAUGCAGCCCUAUAACCUGGCUGUGUGCUUCGGCCCCAGUCUGCUACGAGGGGCGCAGGAUGAUGAUGUCGUUACCUUGCAGCCUCAGAUCAACUCCCUGGUGAAGAGCAUCAUCUUGCAGCACGAGAGCAUCUUCCCAAGCCUGGCCGAGCUACAGGGACCAAUUUAUGAGAAAUGCAUGACAUAUUGUUUGUCCCAUCUAUGCUUUAUGAGAAACAUUUUUCAACUAUGGAUAGAAACUAUCCAGCUGGCUAAAUCUGACACAUUUACAGAAAUGUUGAUUGAUGUGCAUUGUCUCAGUCAAAUAAAUGUAAUAACUCUUGAUCCAGAGUCCGAGUCAAAGGAGGAGCGAUCUCGAGCCAACAGCAGCUGCAGUUCAAGACAGUCCCCAGUAGGGGGCACUGUGACCCCUGGAGGAAAGUUCACCUUACAGUCCCCCAUAACCCCACAGGGAUGGCCCCUCUCCCCCGGAUACAUAAGCAAAGAGUAA
RNAcentral lists this long non-coding RNA (3013 nucleotides) under Oncorhynchus kisutch (coho salmon). RNAcentral's name for it is "lncRNA (ENSOKIG00005042797.1)". The record is from RNAcentral. Lineage: Eukaryota; Metazoa; Chordata; Actinopteri; Salmoniformes; Salmonidae.